Molecule: long non-coding RNA, 1026 nt
Filed under: Junco hyemalis (dark-eyed junco)
Lineage: Eukaryota; Metazoa; Chordata; Aves; Passeriformes; Passerellidae
Description: lncRNA (ENSJHYG00000015231.1)
Source: RNAcentral
GAACCCCCAAACCCCAAACCUGGGAACCCCCAAAAACCCAAACCCCAAACACGGGAAAUCCCAAAUCUCAAACUUGGGAACUCCCAAAGCUGGGAACCCCCCAAACCCAGGAACCCCCAAACACCCAGAACCCCAAACCUGGGGAACCCCAAACCCCAAAAAUCCCAAACCUGGGGACCUCCCAGACCCUAAACCUGGAACCUCUGAAACCCCAAACCUGGAAACCCCAAACACCCAGAACCCCAAACCUGGGAACCCCCAAACCCCAAAACUGGGGAACCCCAAAACCUGGGAAUCCCCAAACACCCAGAACCCCAAACCCAGGAACUCCCAAAGACCCAAAACUGGGAACCUCAAAACCCCAAACCUGGGAACCCCCAAACAUCCAAAGCCCCAGACCUGGGGGGGAUCCUCAAAACCCCAAAGAAGCCAAACCUGGAGGGGAACCCCAAACCCCAAACCUGGGAACCCCCAAGCACCCAGAACCCCAAACCCCAAACCUGGGAACCCCCAAGCACCCAGAACCCCAAACCUGCCAAUGUCCCCAUGUCCCCUCACCGCACACCCGGCACUCUGGGGGCUGUCCCCACGUCCCCAGUGUCCCAGGGGAUGUCCCCAAUGUCCCUAACCCUGUCCCCAUGUCCCCAGUGUCCCCUCACCGCCAUGUAGGCCGCGCAGCCCGCGCUCCGGGUCUUGGCCUUGGAGUCCACCAGGCGGCCGCUGAUGCCGAAGUCGCAGAGUUUGAUCUGGCCCCGCUCGUCCAGCAGGAUGUUGGAGGGUUUGACGUCCCUGUGGAUCACGCCGUGCUUCUCCUUCAGGUACAGCAGCGCCUUCACGAUCUGUGGGACAGUGCCACCUCUGUGUCACCUCUGUGUCACCUCUGUGCCACCGUCACCCUGCCCAGAACACCCUGACUGUCCCCAGUGUCCCCUGUGGAUCACCCCAUGCUUCUCCUUCAGGUACAGCAGCGCCUUCACGAUCUGUGGGACAGGGACUGUCCCCAGUGUCACCUCUGUGUCAUCUCUA